GUUUACAGGGAAGAGUACAAGGUAGCAUAAAUGCAGAAAACUAGGGGCAGCAGCUCUGAACACAGGUCCCCCUUUGCAGGUGUGCUCCAUGCUUAGGAUGCAAUUGCACUCCAGCCUCCUCCCUUUUCCAGCCUGCACCAGGAAGUGCUCUUAACUAAUGGAGUCUUGGCAAGCCGGCAAUGAGCUGGGACAACAGGGCUUGCUUCCCCCACCAUGUUUAGCUUGGCUGCUUGGAGCCCCUUGGCUGCCAACUGAAGUCACCGUAGUGCCUCUGAGCUCUGCUACAGAUGAAAUUAAUUCCUCCAGAGCUGAGGGAGCCUGAGCAGGCAGAGGAGCGAGUGCUGGGCUGGUGGAGCAAACUGCUUUGGCAGCAGCUGUUCCAUUUGGGGAACUAAUGAGACUCGAGGAAAAACCUACCGAGGGAUGCCAAGUGCUUGUUUGCUUGUGGAGUUGAUAUAGCCUUGGCCAAAUUGGACAACGAUGCAAAAAUGCCUAUCAUUUUUUUUUCUGUUCAAUUUUGUGGCUCCGUCUUGCAUUUCAGAAGAAGAAGGAUUAAAACCGUGUCCGUCGCCAGGCUACCCCUCAGUUCCAUAAAGAUUCAGAGAAGACAGCCACCUUACAAUGCAGGUAUUCCAAAAGAUCAUCGUCUGGAUUUCCUACUGACUCAUUCAGCACCAAGCCCUGACCUCACCUCCUAAAUGUUUUUUUCAAAAUUGUUUGGUUCUCUGCUGCUUUUUGUAGCCAACGCAUAUCUCUUUACAGCAGAUAUAACGUUUUAAAAGCCGCAAACCCAGGCAAAUGAAAAUCUUGCUUAAAAGGGAAAACCAUAUGCUACCUCUGCAUUAGUGUAUUAAUGCUAAAGUUCAUUUUAAUAAAAUUUUAUAAGGAAAUCUAUCGAAUUGUAACCCAUUUGACCAUAAGCGGAUGCUGUCGUCUCUCAGAUUUCAAAGAAGAUGAAUGCAUGGGUCAAAUUGGAUUAAAAAGUUUAAUUGAAUAAGACAGAACCAGACAGCUUGAUGGAAGACUUUGAUCCGAUAAAGGAAGAGGAGAAAGGCGUGCUCCUAACGCCGGGGUGUGAUGGGGAGCUGUCUGGACCUCGUCUAGCCUCUUCUCAUCUGCAGGAAAAUCAGUUAUGCCAAUUAUGGGUGAGAUUGCCCUGGGGUGGUGUGGGGAAGACUGUUCCGAGGCAUUUUCCAGAUCAUCAUGUCCCGAAACAGGCUGACAGCUUGCCUACCUUCCUGUUCCAUCUCCGCCUCCCGACAAACCCAGUUCUGAGCCUCUGAAACUGAGGGAUCUUGCCUUAGACCUCACAAAACCCCUGUAUCCUGGCCAUAACAGGAACCCUACAAAAGAGAUCUAAAAGAGAGAGAGAGAUUGAGAAAGAGACACACACACCCAUUAAACCAAUGACCUGCAGGGAAGUCCAACCUAUAGACUUGUUUAGUGGACACAGUGUUUUGUUUCCUUCCUAAUUAGGAGAUUUCCCAUUGUAUAAUCCAUAUUUGUGUCUUCUCUUUAAAUCUUGCUAUUCAAAGUGAGGUCCACAGACCAGUAGCAUUGGCACCAACUGGGAGCUUGUCAGAAAUGCAAGAAUCCCGGGGCCCACCCUAGAUGUUCUGAACCACAAUUUGCAUUUUAACAUUGAAGUUUGAAGGGUUUGCUUUAAAGCAGUGGUUCUCACCCACUGUGUGCAUAUCAGAAUCACAUGAAGAGCUUUGAAAAAUCCAGGUGCUAAGCUCACAUGCCAUCUUUGAAUUCAGAAUCUCUGAGAUUGGAACUCAAACUCCCAGGUUAUUCCAAUGGGAGGCCAAAGUUGAAAAUCAAUAGAUUAGGCUGGGUGCUGUGGCUCACGCCUGUAAUCCCAGCACUUUGUGAGGCCAAGGCAGGUGGAUCACAAGGUCAGGAGUUCAAGACCAGUCUGUCCAAGAUGGUGAAACCCCAUCUCUACUAAAAAUACCAAAAAAAAUUAGCCAGACGCAGUGGCAGACACCUGUAAUCCCAGCUACUUGGGAGGCUGAGGCAGGAGAAUUGCUUGAACCCAAGGGGCGGAGGUUGCAAUGAGCCAAGAUCACACCACUGCACUCCAGCCUAGGCGACAGAGUGAGCCUCCGUCUCAAAAAAAAAGAAAAAAGAAAGAAAAUCAGUAGAUUAAAAUCAGAAAAUCUAGGCCAGCUGUGGUGGCUCAUGCCUGUAAUCCCAGGACUUUGGGAGGCUAAGGCAGGAGGAUUGCUUGAGCCCAGGAGUUUGAGACAAGCCUGAGAAACACAGUGAGACCUUCACUUCUACAAAAAAAUAAAUAAAUAAGUAAACAAAAUUAGCCUGGUGUAGUGAUGCACACCUGUGGUCCCAGCUAUUCCAGAGGCUGAGGUGGGAGGAUCACAUGAGCCCAGGAGGUCAAGGCUGCAGUGAGCCGAGAUGGUGCCAUUGCACUCCAACCUGGGUAACAGAGCAAGACUCUGUCCCAAAAAAUAAUAAUAUAAAAAAAUUAGAAUAUCUGACAACACUGGGUUCCUAUUCCAUGUGAUAAAAGUGGCCAGAGCUGAGGAACCGGGCUUCAAUUUCACCUCUUUUCAUGCAUUUUCAUAACCUGCCGGAUGCCACAUGCCUAUGAUCCCUGGUGAAUUUAUAUGCUUGAAGUCCCUGAAGCUCUUCUCCCUGUUGGCCCCUCUCCCCCUCUCCCUACAUUCCCCAUCUCCCCUCCUUCUAGGAGGACCAUUAUCAAGAGGCAAUUUGCAGUUUCUGACUAUUGGGGCUCAGAAAAUAACAUCCCAAAAUAAAGGCCUCAGAAGCAAAAGUUUUUUCUGACCUUCUCCUGCCCUUCUGUCUCUCAGCCUCAUUCUCAGCCAAGGCUAGCCAGAGAAACUAGAAUCCCUCUUCCUCAAGCAGGUCUUUUCCCCAAACCCAGCCAUAACCCUAAAAAUGUUAAUCUAACUUUCCCUCCACCUUUCUGUGUAAAAACUGGCAUAAAGAAAUUCUCUGACCUACCUUGUUUGACAGUAGGUCAUAAGACUCCCAUUCUAGAGAAGAUCCUGCCCCACACCCAGAAGGAAGGAACGAUUCUCAGGGAGGCCAAGGUGAAUCUAGACGGGCCUUGCUAGGGGUCCCCACUCAGUCUAUUAUAAUUCGAUCAUAUCCUUUUUGUCAAGUCAUAUUGUAUUUCUACAUGGCUAUCUAUAUUUUAUUGAACCUAAGCAUAAAAAUGGACAAUUCCCCUGUUCCUUUGGAUCUUCAUUGUGAAGUUUCCUGUGUAUACACAUUAAAUAAAUUUGCAUGCCU
Molecule: long non-coding RNA, 3276 nt
Filed under: Homo sapiens (human)
Lineage: Eukaryota; Metazoa; Chordata; Mammalia; Primates; Hominidae
Description: HSALNT0228528
Source: RNAcentral